AAGAUAUUCCAAAUGAUGGAUGAAAAUAACAACAUAUACCAAGUUCAAGCCUUACAUACAUACACCAAAAGUUCAUCAGUCUUGAGCAACGUCAAUGGCCAGUGAUAGCCUUACAUAUACCAAGUUCAAGGCAAUACAAUAUCAGCCAUCAAGUUGAAGCUUACAUAAUAUAAAUUCAGAACUUAGACACUAAUUCAUGAUCAAGUUUUAACAAAAGAAACAUCCUACUCAUUGAAAUCACUCUUACAUUCCAGGGAACUUCUCAGCGAUGAACAUUGUGACCCAAUUUAACUUGUGCUCGAAUGGCAAGUUAUAGAAAGCUUUGCCAAUGUGAGGAUUGCUCACCAAAUGAGCAUAGUAGAAGGAUAUGUGUGCUGAAUUAAAACCAGGAAGUUGGUUCAAGACAUCAAAUAGGUCAGGUGGCAGCUCAUUAUCAGGUUACCUGGACAUGGCCGUUGUAGUGCUCCUCAUCUAGUGUAAUCAUGCAGUUUUCUUCAUCAAAGAGGGCACCACUCAACUUCUUCAAUCUAUUUAUCUUUGCAUACCUUUUCUGCCAUGUUUUCAAAUGAUUCUUAACUUGCUCACCAGUGAUCCUUGUGGUGAACUUCUCAUUGAUAACCCUAGCACAACCAUUAAAAAGGUGCUUCUUAAAUCCCUUUGAUGUCUUCAAACCAGCAG
Molecule: long non-coding RNA, 678 nt
Organism: Setaria italica (foxtail millet)
Lineage: Eukaryota; Viridiplantae; Streptophyta; Magnoliopsida; Poales; Poaceae
Exons: 2
Source: RefSeq, a predicted model, not a curated record